This 481-nucleotide ribosomal RNA is filed under the name uncultured Bacteroidota bacterium. RNAcentral describes it as "bacterial SSU rRNA". It matches the Rfam family "Bacterial small subunit ribosomal RNA", at positions 28 to 504 of the family's 1533-position model. Lineage: Bacteria; Pseudomonadati; Bacteroidota. The record is from RNAcentral.
GAUGAACGCUAGCGGCAGGCUUAAUACAUGCAAGUCGAGGGGCAGCACGGGGGCAACCCUGGUGGCGACCGGCAAACGGGUGCGGAACACGUACGCAACCUUCCCAUAACUGGUGAAUAGCCCUCCGAAAGGAGGAUUAAUACACCGUACCAUAGUGAAGAGGCAUCUCUUUAUUAUUAUAGUAGCAAUACGGUUUUGGAUGGGCGUGCGCCUGAUUAGGUAGUUGGCGGGGUAACGGCCCACCAAGCCUGCGAUCAGUAACUGGUGUGAGAGCACGACCAGUCACACGGGCACUGAGACACGGGCCCGACUCCUACGGGAGGCAGCAGUAAGGAAUAUUGGUCAAUGGACGCAAGUCUGAACCAGCCAUGCCGCGUGAAGGAUGAAGGCCCUCUGGGUUGUAAACUUCUUUUAUCUGGGACGAAAAAAGAUCAUUCUUGAUCACUUGACGGUACCAGAGGAAUAAGCACCGGCUAACUCC